AGGCGGGGAGAGGAGUGGAGCAUGCGUAGUACGAGGCAGGCGCGCUGAUGACAUAAGAGUCAGACUCCGGAGCCCCCGGCAGCAGUCGUGUGGCGGAGGCGUGGGCAUGGCGUGUCGCGGGCGCCGGCCGGAGCACGGCGGACCCCCAGAGCUGUUUUACGACCAGAAUGAAGCCCAGAAAUACAUGCGCAACUCUAGGAUGAUUGAUGUGCAGACCAAGAUGACUGGGCGAGCAUUGGAGCUCCUUGACCUGCCUGAUGAGAAGCCCUGUUUCCUGUUGGAUAUUGGCUGUGGUACUGGCCUGAGUGGAGAUUAUCUCUCUGAGGAGGGGCACUAUUGGGUGGGCAUCGACAUCAGCCUUGCCAUGCUGGAUGCAGCUUUGGACCGAGAAGCACAAGGAGACCUGCUUCUGGGGGACAUGGGCCAGGGCAUUCCCUUCAAACCGGGCUCCUUUGAUGGUUGUAUCAGCAUUUCUGCUGUGCAGUGGCUCUGUAAUGCUAACAAGAAGUCAGACAUUCCUGCCAAGCGCCUGUACUGCUUUUUUUCUUCUCUUUAUUCUGUGCUGGUCCGUGGAGCCCGGGCUGUUCUGCAGCUAUACCCUGAGAACUCGGAGCAGUUGGAGCUCAUUACGACGCAGGCCAUCAGGGCUGGUUUCACCGGUGGCGUGGUGGUGGACUACCCCAACAGUGCCAAAGCAAAGAAAUUCUACCUCUGUUUGUUUUCUGGGCCAUCAACCUUUCUGCCAAAGGGCCUACAUGAAAUUAAGGAAGAAGAGGAGGCAAAGGAAUCCACAUUCACUAACAGGAGCUGUGUCUCCGGCACAGGGUCCAGAACAGGAUUGCACGGAGAGGGUUGGUGAGGAAGAGCCGGGAGUGGGUGCUGGAGAAGAAGGAGCGCCGUAGACGCCAGGGCAAGGAAGUCAGACCUGAUACUCAGUACACUGGCCGCAAGCGCAAGCCCUACUUCUAAGCAGUUCGCUGCAUUGAAUGGUGGGACAGCUCGGGAUCCACUUGCUUCUGGAAAGUUUUAUAUAUUGAAGUAUCUACUUCAUCGUCUGACAAAAUGGGGUUUAGAAAAGUUCUAAAAGCCCUGACCAAUGUAAGUCAGUGGUUAGAGUGUCAGCCUGCGCACUAAGGGUCAUAGUUCGCUCCCCACCCCUUGUGGGGGGGGGGGUACAGGAGGAAGCCAAUUGAUGUGUCUCUCUCACAUCAACGUUUCUCCCUCCCUCCUACUCUCUCUGAAGAAGAAGAGAAAAAAAUAUCCUCAGGUGAGGAUAACAACUGCAAAAAAGUUCUAAUGCUAUUUUCUUUAAAGUUCUAAUGCAUCUUAUUUUAUUGUAAAAUAAACUACUUUCUAUGGAA
This is an RNA transcript of Pipistrellus kuhlii (Kuhl's pipistrelle), 1361 nucleotides long. It is a transcript of the gene named BUD23 rRNA methyltransferase and ribosome maturation factor, with no coding region annotated. NCBI's taxonomy places the organism in Eukaryota, Metazoa, Chordata, Mammalia, Chiroptera, Vespertilionidae. The transcript is spliced from 12 exons. The record is from RefSeq and is a predicted model, not a curated record.